Molecule: unclassified non-coding RNA, 209 nt
Filed under: eukaryotic plankton environmental sample
Lineage: Eukaryota
Description: sequence contains 18S rRNA gene
Source: RNAcentral
GCGGUGUGUACAAAGGGCAGGGACGUAAUCAACGCGAGCUGAUGACUCGCGCUUACUAGGCAUUCCUCGUUGAAGACCAAUAAUUGCAAUGAUCUAUCCCCAUCACGACGCGUUUUCAAAGAUUACCCGGACCUCUCGGUCAAGGAUAGGCUCGUUGAACGCGUCAGUGUAGCGCGCGUGCGGCCCAGAACAUCUAAGGGCAUCACAGA